This is a non-coding RNA of Clostridium sp., 191 nucleotides long. Lineage: Bacteria; Bacillati; Bacillota; Clostridia; Eubacteriales; Clostridiaceae. The record is from Rfam.
AAAUUCCUGAAGUGUUCGACACUCCUGCCGUAUUUGAACCUACAUGACUUAAACGGGAUUCCUAUAUGCAAAAGAUAUGCCAGGCCUCAACAUAAUUCCCUUUGGGCAGAGGAAGGCAGAGUCUUUGCUGCGGUUGCCCACCUGGCGUAGGCUAGGUGUCAAGAGGUGGGAACCGGCAUUUUGGGAUUAAA